RNAcentral lists this ribosomal RNA (128 nucleotides) under Orthomnion dilatatum. Its description in RNAcentral is "partial 5.8S ribosomal RNA". It matches the Rfam family "5.8S ribosomal RNA", at positions 28 to 154 of the family's 154-position model. Rfam says of the family: 5.8S ribosomal RNA (5.8S rRNA) is a component of the large subunit of the eukaryotic ribosome. Lineage: Eukaryota; Viridiplantae; Streptophyta; Bryopsida; Bryales; Mniaceae. The record is from RNAcentral.
UUGCAUCGAUUGAGAACGCAGCGAAAUGCGAUACGUAGUGUGAAUUGCAGAAUUCCGCGAAUCAUCGAGUCUUUGAACGCAAGUUGCGCCCGAGGCUCGUCCGAGGGCAUUUCCGUUAGAGCGUCACC